Molecule: ribosomal RNA, 490 nt
Filed under: uncultured bacterium
Lineage: Bacteria
Description: partial 16S ribosomal RNA
Rfam family: Bacterial small subunit ribosomal RNA
Source: RNAcentral
AUUGAACGCUGGCGGCAGGCCUAACACAUGCAAGUCGAACGGUAACAGGAAGAAGCUUGCUUCUUUGCUGACGAGUGGCGGACGGGUGAGUAAUGUCUGGGAAACUGCCUGAUGGAGGGGGAUAACUACUGGAAACGGUAGCUAAUACCGCAUAACGUCGCAAGACCAAAGAGGGGGACCUUCGGGCCUCUUGCCAUCGGAUGUGCCCAGAUGGGAUUAGCUAGGAGGUGGGGUAACGGCUCACCUAGGCGACGAUCCCUAGCUGGUCUGAGAGGAUGACCAGCGACACUGGAACUGAGACACGGUCCAGACUCCUACGGGAGGCAGCAGUGGGGAAUAUUGCACAAUGGGCGCAAGCCUGAUGCAGCCAUGCCGCGUGUAUGAAGAAGGCCUUCGGGUUGUAAAGUACUUUCAGCGGGGAGGAAGGGAGUAAAGUUAAUACCUUUGCUCAUUGACGUUACCCGCAGAAGAAGCACCGGCUAACUCCGUG